AGAGUUUGAUCCUGGCUCAGGGCUAACGCUGGUGGUAUGCCUCAGACAUGCAAGUCGAGCGAGAAAGUCACCUUCGGGUGGCGAGUACAGCGGCGAGCGGGUGAGUAACACGUGGGUGACCUACCCUCGAAUUUGGCAUAACAUACCUAACGGUAUGCUAAUUCCAAAUAACAUAAUAGUAAGAAAUUAUUAUUAUAAAAGGUGGCAUUUCUUCGGAAGUGCUGUCGUUCGAGGAUGGGCCCGCGCUCUAUUAGCUUGUUGGUAGGGUAACGGCCUACCAAGGCUACGAUGGAUAGCCGGCCUGAGAGGGUGAUCGGCCACACUGGGAUUGAGAUACGGCCCAGACUCCUACGGGAGGCAGCAGUCGGGAAUUUUGGGCUAAUGUCCGAAAGGAUGACCCAGCAAUACCACGUGAGCGAUGAAGUAUUUUGGUACGUAAAGCUCUGUCAGGGAAUAAGAAAAAAGAUAAGGCGAAUAACCUUAACUCUUGACUAUUCCCAAAGGAAGCUCCGGCUAACUCCGUGCCAGCAGCCGCGGUAAUACGGGGGGAGCGAGCGUUGCCCGGAUUCACUGGGCGUAAAGGGUGUGUAGGUGGAUGUGUAAGUCAAGCGUGAAAUCCCACGGCUUAACCGUGGGUCUGCGCUUGAUACUGCAUUUCUUGAGUACAGAAGAGGAGAAUGGAAUUUCAGGUGUAGCGGUGAAAUGCGUAGAUAUCUGAAAGAACACCAGUUGCGAAGGCUAUUCUCUAUCCUGAUACUGACGCUGAAACACGAAAGCCGGGGGAGCGAACAGGAUUAGAUACCCUGGUAGUCCCAGCCGUAAACGAUGAAUACUAGGUGUUGGAGGCAUCAACCCCUUCAGUGCCGAAGCUAACGCAUUAAGUAUUCCGCCUGGGGAGUACGAUCGCAAGAUUGAAACUCAAAGGAAUUGACGGGGGCCUGCACAAGCGGUGGAGCAUGUGGUUUAAUUCGAUGCAACGCGAAAAACCUUACCGGGGUUUGACAUGGGAGCCCUCUUCGGAGGGUCAAUUCUAUAAAAGUAGAAUGAAUCCACACAGGUGCUGCAUGGCUGUCGUCAGCUCGUGUCGUGAGAUGUUGGGUUAAGUCCCGCAACGAGCGCAACCCUCGUCUUUAGUUGCCAUCAGGUCAAGCUGGGCACUCUAGAGAGACUGCCGGUCACAAACCGGAGGAAGGUGGGGAUGACGUCAAGUCCUCAUGGCCCUUAUAUCCCGGGCUACACACGUGCUACAAUGGUCCGUACAAAGGGAUGCAAUACUGCGAAGUAGAGCCAAUCCUUAAAGCGGGCCUCAGUUCGGAUUGCAGUCUGCAACUCGACUGCAUGAAGUUGGAAUCGCUAGUAAUCGCGGAUCAGCAUGCCGCGGUGAAUAUGUUCCCAGGCCUUGUACACACCGCCCGUCAAGUCAACCGAAUGGAAUGCACCCGAAGUCCUAUCUAUAUAAGCCGAAGGUGUGUUUCGUGAGAGGGACUAAGUCGUAACAAGGUAGCCGUACCGGAAGGUGCG
Molecule: ribosomal RNA, 1521 nt
Filed under: metagenome
Description: bacterial SSU rRNA
Rfam family: Bacterial small subunit ribosomal RNA
Source: RNAcentral